RNAcentral lists this small RNA (158 nucleotides) under Geminicoccaceae bacterium. Its description in RNAcentral is "6S RNA". It matches the Rfam family "6S / SsrS RNA". From Rfam's summary of the family: E. coli 6S RNA was the first non coding RNA to be sequenced, but its function was unknown until recently. It consists of 184 nucleotides that fold into an extended hairpin structure with a large single-stranded internal bulge. Lineage: Bacteria; Pseudomonadati; Pseudomonadota; Alphaproteobacteria; Geminicoccales; Geminicoccaceae. The record is from RNAcentral.
CGGUGGCUGCCCGGUUCGAGAGCGUCCACUAUCACGCUCUGGGCCUAAUUCGUUCCAACGGGAGCUGUCCCUGGCGGGGCCCUGGCCUCGUCAAACGGCGCCCACCUGCGCAGCAGGUCCCAGGGACGACCGGACGUAUCGGCCACGGCGGCGCCGCC